AAGGUGAAGUCGUAACAAGGUCUCCGUUGGUGAACCAGCGGAGGGAUCAUUA
Molecule: ribosomal RNA, 52 nt
Filed under: Amesomyces atrobrunneus
Lineage: Eukaryota; Fungi; Ascomycota; Sordariomycetes; Sordariales; Chaetomiaceae
Description: Amesia atrobrunnea partial 18S ribosomal RNA
Rfam family: Eukaryotic small subunit ribosomal RNA
Source: RNAcentral